RNAcentral lists this ribosomal RNA (1578 nucleotides) under Triticum aestivum (bread wheat). Its description in RNAcentral is "partial small subunit ribosomal RNA". Lineage: Eukaryota; Viridiplantae; Streptophyta; Magnoliopsida; Poales; Poaceae. The record is from RNAcentral.
AUGGUGGCGCCACUGGAGCAGCCGGCACCGCAUGCCACCUUGGAACAAGACCAGCGAGACGCCGCCACAGCCACAGAGAAUAGCGGCAGGGAUCACGGAGCUGCCGACAUAGCAGAUGCUGAUCCAGGCGAAGCAAUAUGCGCUCCUGGAUCCGCACCUUCUGUCACGUCAAGGAUUUCGGUGCAGAAGGUGUGCUCGCUCGUUGGCAAGUUUAACAAAUUUAAGAGGGAUUUGGUCGAGGAGAUAGGCUUUGGUGGGAUGCUGGGGAUCAAGAUGCUGGCAAAGUUGAAUUUGAAGUUCAGCGCGUGGCUAAUGGAAAGAGUCGACGUCGAGUCGAGUACACUGAAAAUAGACGAGCAAAGGGUUCUGCAGAUCCAGGACCAUGAUGUCCAGAAGGUAUUCAGUCUGCCAUGCGGCACCAGAUCGAUAUGCCCCGAUACAACCGAGCCGUCUGAAGCUUGCAAAGAGUUCAUGCGAGCUUCUGCCUAUUUGAGCAAAGGUGCGCAUAGUCUAAAGGCCGCGGAGGCUUAUCUCCUGAGAGAUGACAUCAAUGGAGAUUCCAGCAAUGUCCAGAUAGAUUGCUUCAAGAUAGCCUUUGUUAUUUUUGUUGUUGGGCACCUCUUGGCUCCAUCAACUAAGCAUGACUACAUCACCAUAGAUUUCUGGGCCGCACUCAACGAUAUCUCGCAAAUUAAAGAAUUUAAUUGGUGUGCUUAUGUACUCGAGCAUUUGAACAGAGCUGUUGGGAAGUUGAAAACUGAUAUCCGCAACCGGAACAUCACUGUACAUCUUGUUGGCUGCCACCUGUUUCUUCAGGUAUUCUACUUGGACAAUCUUGAUCUUGGUCCACUUUCCAAGACAAAAGACCAUCUACCAAGGAUUAGUCUUUUUGACUACGAGUCAGUUAAGAAGAUGAUAGAAGUGAUUACUAGCAACGUGGAUGGAGAUACAUCAUUCGCUGGAGCUAGUUUUAGGCGCGCUCAAGAUGUUUGCUACUCCAGAGUCCACUGUGAAAGCCACACUCACCGAGCAGAUGUAGCUUCUGACCUGCCCCAUCAUGCCCCAGGUUUUGUUGGCACAAAGCACCAACACAACCCAAUUACUCCCAUGCUACGAAGCAGCUUCACUGAAACUGGACAAGAAGAUUUCUCCAACCAUCUCCGAUUGAAAUACCCGUCACUUGCAGACCACCCGCUUAUGACCAUUUUGGAAGAACAUAAUGCACACAUGAUGGAAAAUAUAUCUGAAAUUAGGCGAAGUUGCGAAGUGGCGAUGUCUACCUUAGCGGACAAGCUUCUUGGCUAUAUAUCUGAGAAUCGCUGUUGCUGCAGAGCGGUGGGACGAACCGAUUGUUUACUGAGGUCACCGCACACAAUUCAUGAGAGUUCAACCGAGCAGAAUUCACUCUCUCACAAACGGGAUGCACCUGAGCCCACUGGAGCAGGACAUCACAAGAAGAUCCGGGUGAACCAACGUCUAGUUGAGACAGACCUUCAAGCAAGUAUACCUGGAUGCUCAACUAACAACAGCCUACCCUGCAGUCCUUUACAAGUUGACAUCAACCUGGCCGCACCUUAG